Molecule: ribosomal RNA, 422 nt
Filed under: uncultured Lachnospiraceae bacterium
Lineage: Bacteria; Bacillati; Bacillota; Clostridia; Lachnospirales; Lachnospiraceae
Description: bacterial SSU rRNA
Rfam family: Bacterial small subunit ribosomal RNA
Source: RNAcentral
UAGGGAAUAUUGGGCAAUGGAGGCAACUCUGACCCAGCAACACCGCGUGAAUGAUGAAGGUCUUCGGUAUGUAAAGCUCUAUCAGCAGGAAAGAUAAUGACGGUACCUGACUAAGAAGCACCGGCUAAAUACGUGCCAGCAGCCGCGGUAAUACGUAUGGUGCAAGCGUUAUCCGGAUUUACUGGGUGUAAAGGGAGCGCAGACGGCAUGGCAAGCCAGAUGUGAAAGGUGGGGGCUCAACCCCCAAGCUGCAUUUGGAACUGUCAAGCUAGAGUAUCGGAGAGGUAAGUGGAAUUCCUAGUGUAGCGGUGAAAUGCGUAGAUAUUAGGAGGAACACCAGUGGCGAAGGCGGCUUACUGGACGAUAACUGACGUUGAGGCUCGAAAGCGUGGGGAGCAAACAGGAUUAGAUACCCUGGUAGU